RNAcentral lists this transfer RNA (74 nucleotides) under Pseudomonadota bacterium. RNAcentral describes it as "tRNA-Gly". It matches the Rfam family "tRNA". From Rfam's summary of the family: Transfer RNA (tRNA) molecules are approximately 80 nucleotides in length. Lineage: Bacteria; Pseudomonadati; Pseudomonadota. The record is from RNAcentral.
GCGGGCAUGGUGAAAUGGUAUCACAAAAGCCUUCCAAGCUUUUAGUGCGGGUUCGAUUCCCGCUGCCCGCUCCA